RNAcentral lists this transfer RNA (91 nucleotides) under Sulfolobus acidocaldarius DSM 639. It matches the Rfam family "tRNA". Rfam says of the family: Transfer RNA (tRNA) molecules are approximately 80 nucleotides in length. Their secondary structure includes four short double-helical elements and three loops (D, anti-codon, and T loops). The record is from Rfam by way of RNAcentral. Lineage: Archaea; Thermoproteati; Thermoproteota; Thermoprotei; Sulfolobales; Sulfolobaceae.
GCCGCCGUAGCUCAGCACGGCCAGAGCGCUGGCCUUGUAAGGAUGGCUUCAGGACAGCCAGUGGUCCCGGGUUCAAAUCCCGGCGGCGGCU